RNAcentral lists this ribosomal RNA (791 nucleotides) under uncultured Actinomycetes bacterium. RNAcentral's name for it is "bacterial SSU rRNA". It matches the Rfam family "Bacterial small subunit ribosomal RNA", at positions 57 to 825 of the family's 1533-position model. Lineage: Bacteria; Bacillati; Actinomycetota; Actinomycetes. The record is from RNAcentral.
GCAAGUCGAACGCGAAAAUCCCCUUCGGGGGGGCGAGUAGAGUGGCGCACGGGUGAGUAACACGUAGGUAAUCUACCUUUGGAUUGGGAAUAACAACCGGAAACGGUUGCUAAUACCGAAUAAUGCAGCGGCACCUAGUGGUGACAGUUGUUAAAGCGGGGGAUCGCAAGACCUCGCGUCUGAAGAGGAGCCUGCGGCAGAUUAGCUAGUUGGUAAGGUAACGGCUUACCAAGGCGAUGAUCUGUAGCCGGCCUGAGAGGGCGGUCGGCCACACUGACACUGACAUACGGGUCAGACUCCUACGGGAGGCAGCAGUCGGGAAUUUUGGGCAAUGGGCGAAAGCCUGACCCAGCAACGCCGCGUGAAGGAUGAAAUCCUUCGGGAUGUAAACUUCGCAAGAACGGGAAGAAUAAGUAAGAGUUAAUAUCUCUUACGAUGACGGUACUGUUUGUAAGCUCCGGCUAACUCCGUGCCAGCAGCCGCGGUAAUACGGGGGGAGCAAGCGUUGUUCGGAUUUACUGGGCGUAAAGGGCGCGUAGGCGGCCACCGCAAGUCAACUGUGAAAUCUCCGGGCUUAACCCGGAAAGGUCAGCCGAUACUGCGGGGCUAGAGUGCAGAAGGGGCAACUGGAAUUCUCGGUGUAGCGGUGAAAUGCGUAGAUAUCGAGAGGAACACCUGCGGCGAAGGCGGGUUGCUGGGCUGACACUGACGCUGAUGCGCGAAAGCUAGGGGAGCGAACGGGAUUAGAUACCCCGGUAGUCCUAGCCUUAAACGAUGAAUGCUUGGUGUCU